This 301-nucleotide long non-coding RNA is filed under the name Sorghum bicolor (sorghum). Its description in RNAcentral is "long non-coding RNA (SBIC_LNC000086)". Lineage: Eukaryota; Viridiplantae; Streptophyta; Magnoliopsida; Poales; Poaceae. The record is from RNAcentral.
GGCGCUGCAGUUUUUUGGGUCCAAUGAGUGGAAGAACUUAAAGAGAUUAGGAGUUUAAUGCUUGGCUGUCUUGAUCUGCUUUUCGCUGGUGUUGGGUGUUUAGUUCUGGUUGGUCCAUGAUCAAUGGAGGUGUGGACUCUUUGUCCUUUUUUAUCUUAUGUGUUAGAACAAUAGAAGCUGGCUGCAGACAUCUGGAAGGAGUGACUCUACACUGUUGAGGUUCCUGGUGAAGUUCUAGAAGGCUAUGGAGGUGGAAUCAGUUGGUUGAUUUUGUUUCAGUUAGCUGAUUGGAUGUGGCUUA